This is a non-coding RNA of Monodelphis domestica (gray short-tailed opossum), 840 nucleotides long. NCBI's taxonomy places the organism in Eukaryota, Metazoa, Chordata, Mammalia, Didelphimorphia, Didelphidae. The record is from RefSeq and is a predicted model, not a curated record.
UCUCUCCCUCACCCCCAUCUCAUAAACUUCUUAGCAAACUCAAAAUUCAGGUUAUGCUCAAACUAUUUCCUAACAUAUCCAUUUGGAUGGAACAAAGUCAGAUUUUUUAAGAGAACUGAUUAAUGGCAUUUGAUGUGCCAGAUUUUUGUGCUUUGCUAGGGCACAAGAUUAAUAGGUCAAAACAGGCUAGGAGGGACUAGGCUAGGGAAGUGGGAGAACUCUUGGAAUUAUUGGAGGUCUGUAUGGGUCCAAGUCAGUGAGGUUAGGCCAUCAAGAAUCAACAAAGUACUAUGGACAUAAGCAAGAAUGGAAUAUGAAGUCUGAAAUGUCAGAAGAUCAGAAGGAGCAGAGGUACGGUUAGGACUUGGUGUCUCUCCUUUCAAGAUGCCCAAUAUCAUAGAAAUUCUGAUUGGCUCCAGAGAGUUUUCUUCUGCAGCUUGGGAAACAUGUUCUCCUGAAAUAAUGAUGGAACAAUGACCCGCAGGAAAGAAGUGCCAUAAGAUCAUCUUCGCCAUCAAACAUAUUGAGUUCCUACUCUCCAGAGAGUCGCUCCUCCACAAAAGCUACUUCCUAAUAUUUGAUAUUCUACCAAUAACAAUGAUUCCUGAUUCCCAAGAUGUGGUCAACCUUAUUGCAAGGAUGAAUGAAGAGCCUAAAUAGAUCUUGAGUAUUUCUUACUCAGAAAGUUAUUUGGGACAAAGAACUGGAAUUCUAACUGCCUCGAUAUCAAGGAGUCAGAAGAAAAGAUUCAAUAUUUGCUUAGAGACAUUCUCCUUGGGUUUUGUUAAUGGGGUGGGUGGCUCAUAUUUUAAGAUUAUGAAUAAAGAGUUGUUACUCUGA